Long non-coding RNA from Ictalurus furcatus (blue catfish), 442 nucleotides. RefSeq lists it as uncharacterized. The record is from RefSeq and is a predicted model, not a curated record. Lineage: Eukaryota; Metazoa; Chordata; Actinopteri; Siluriformes; Ictaluridae. The transcript has 2 exons.
GUACUGAAAUGCAAAAAUCCUCCAGCUGCUCUUGUAUUUGGUCUGUUUUAGGUGAGGCUUUGAGGUGUUAUGGAUGUGUUGGAAAAGGCUGUUCAGGUAGACAAGAGAAAUGUGGCUCUCUUUUGCAAAAUCCUGUCUGUGCCAUCAUAGAUGCCCCAAGAUUUUCUAUGAAAGGAUGCAUGAGUGAGUACAUCUGUAGGGAGCAACAGCAGGCUCCCGGUACCACUGCUACCUGCUGCAGUACCAACUUCUGCAACCGCUAAGAAGGACAUCACCCAUGGUCCCUUUAUGACCAUCACUAGCCAAGAAGUUAAAUUCCAUUAAUCAUUCAUAUUUCAUCUGUAUAAAAUAUAAUGUGUACAUUUCAGACAUCUGCAUUAAUUGAUUUGUUUUGUUAAAUAAUGGGAAUUUUUAUUUCCAUUAAAUAAAAGAAUUAACUGCA